Molecule: non-coding RNA, 230 nt
Organism: Cinara cedri
Lineage: Eukaryota; Metazoa; Arthropoda; Insecta; Hemiptera; Aphididae
Source: the annotation of a GenBank genome assembly
UAGGAGAACUUCUGUACAGUGACGCAUAAUACCGCAGACGGGUUUAAAGCACAUUUACUUUUAGUUUUAGGCAUGCGUCAUAAUAAUAAUAAUAGUGUUGUCUCGUUAUAGACUGGUUAUAUAGUCAUCUCUAUCGGUUAUGGAUAAAAUAUCGUAAAAGAUCGAACGAAAUUCGAAUCCCACCCACGACGGUGAUGACAACGACGUCUAAUAAAAAUGAAGCAUAAAAC